This is a small nuclear RNA of Cavia porcellus (domestic guinea pig), 107 nucleotides long. NCBI's taxonomy places the organism in Eukaryota, Metazoa, Chordata, Mammalia, Rodentia, Caviidae. The record is from Ensembl.
GUACUCACUUGGGUAGCACAUAUACUAAAAUUGGAACAAUACAGAAAAGAUUAGCAUGGCCCCUGCGCAAGGGUGACAAGCAAAUUUGUGAAGUGUUCCAUAUUUUU